Molecule: unclassified non-coding RNA, 240 nt
Filed under: soil metagenome
Description: partial contains 5.8S ribosomal RNA, internal transcribed spacer 2, and large subunit ribosomal RNA
Source: RNAcentral
AACGCACGAGACCUGCGGACCUGCGGAGGGAUCAUUAAUGAGAAACUGCCCCUCGCGGGUAGAUCUCCCACCCUUUGUAAACUUACCUUUGUUGCUUUGGCAGGCCCGUCUCCGGACCGCCGGCUUCGGCUGGCCAGUGCCUGCCAGAGGAUUCUAAAACUCUGUCUGUCAGUGUUGUCUGAGUCUAUAUACAAUCGUUAAAACUUUUAACAACAGAUCUCUAGAUCGGAAGAGCACACG